Molecule: long non-coding RNA, 229 nt
Filed under: Physcomitrium patens
Lineage: Eukaryota; Viridiplantae; Streptophyta; Bryopsida; Funariales; Funariaceae
Description: long non-coding RNA (PPAT_LNC008181)
Source: RNAcentral
AAUUGAAGAUGUUGAAGCAUUCAUUAUAAAUAAAUAAAUAAGGGUCUGCAAUGGAGUGUAACAAGGUGCGAUAUGAUGCAGCAGUUGGUAGCAAGAUGUAGUAGAUAGUGACAAGAUGUAGGAGAUGGUAGUAGGGUAUGGUAGUUAGUGGCAGGAUGUAAUAAGCGGCGGCAGGGUGCAGUAGUUCAGCAACAGUAUACAAUAGUCUAUGAUAGGAUGCAGUAAACUG